This 497-nucleotide ribosomal RNA is filed under the name uncultured bacterium. Its description in RNAcentral is "partial 16S ribosomal RNA". It matches the Rfam family "Bacterial small subunit ribosomal RNA", at positions 28 to 507 of the family's 1533-position model. The record is from RNAcentral.
GAUGAACGCUGGCGGCGUGCCUAAUACAUGCAAGUCGAGCGAACAGAUGAGGAGCUUGCUCCUCUGACGUUAGCGGCGGACGGGUGAGUAACACGUGGAUAACCUACCUAUAAGACUGGGAUAACUUCGGGAAACCGGAGCUAAUACCGGAUAAUAUAUUGAACCGCAUGGUUCAAUAGUGAAAGACGGUUUUGCUGUCACUUAUAGAUGGAUCCGCGCCGCAUUAGCUAGUUGGUAAGGUAACGGCUUACCAAGGCAACGAUGCGUAGCCGACCUGAUAGGGUGAUCGGCCACCCUGGAACUGAGACACGGUCCAGACUCCUACGGGAGGCAGCAGUAGGGAAUCUUCCGCAAUGGGCGAAAGCUUGACGGAGCAACGCCGCGUGAGUGAUGAAGGUCUUCGGAUCGUAAAACUCUGUUAUUAGGGAAGAACAAAUGUGUAAGUAACUAUGCACGUCUUGACGGUACCUAAUCAGAAAGCCACGGCUAACUACGUG